AGAGUUGAUCCUGGCUUGGGACGAACGCUGGCGGCGUGCUUAACACAUGCAAGUCGAGCGAUGAAGCUUCUUCGGAAGUGGAUUAGCGGCGGACGGGUGAGUAACACGUGGGUAACCUGCCUCAUAGAGGGGAAUAGCCUUCCGAAAGGAAGAUUAAUACCGCAUAAGAUUGUAAUAUCGCAUGAUAUAGCAAUUAAAGGAGUAAUCCGCUAUGAGAUGGACCCCGCGUCGCAUUAGCUAGUUGGUGAGGUAACGGCUCACCAAGGCGACGAUGCGUAGCCGACCUGAGAGGGUGAUCGGCCACAUUGGGACUGAGACACGGCCCAGACUCCUACGGGAGGCAGCAGUGGGGAAUAUUGCACAAUGGGGGAAACCCUGAUGCAAGCAACGCCGCGUGAGUGAUGACGGUCUUCGGAUUGUAAAGCUCUGUCUUCAGGGACGAUAAUGACGGUACCUGAGGAGGAAGCCACGGCUAACUACGUGCCAGCCGCCGC
This 494-nucleotide ribosomal RNA is filed under the name uncultured bacterium. Its description in RNAcentral is "bacterial SSU rRNA". It matches the Rfam family "Bacterial small subunit ribosomal RNA", at positions 8 to 518 of the family's 1533-position model. The record is from RNAcentral.